AGUGGAUGCCUCUACACUUAUAAAUGGGACGUUUAAUACACGAAAAGUCGUUUUGUAAUCUAAACGAAUUUCCCAAGGGAAACCCAAAAGUAAAAAACCUGCCAGUAUCAACUUUUACCAGCAGGAAUAAAAACCAAAAGGGAGACCAAGAGUAGCGGAGAGCGAAAUUGGUAUAUGUUUGUCUUUGUAAUAAUAUAACCAAGGGGUUUAUACUGGACUUUUAUUAAAAGUGCAGUAAAGUGUUAAGGUUCUUUUUUUAAAACGUACUUAGCUACUCUUUUGUCUAUAAGAAGAAUAGCUAUAUGAAUAGUUGCCAAAGAAGGUGAAAGCCCUGUAAAACAAUAGAACUGUAUUAUCGAUUUGUCUUCACUGGUUAGUAAAAAGACCCGCGUUGAAGCAAAUAUCUGAAAGUAGAUGGUGGCUAUUAUUAAUGCUUCCAUAAUAAUAAAGAGGUACCACCCUCUAAACUUUAAUUAUAAGUGAUAGAUAGUGUACUAGUACGGUGACGGAAAGGUGAAAAGAGCAACUUUUGUUGUAGUGAAAUAGAUCCUGAAACCCUAUGCUACCAAACAGUUGAUGGCUUAAUCUUUCGCUUCAGCGCUUCAGCAUAGCUGAAUGCUAAAUGGAGCAGAUAUAUACGUAGUCUCAGCGUGCCUUUUGCAACAUGAGAGAAUAAGUCUUCAAAUAUAGCAGCUUAAGCCGAUAGGUGUAGGCA
This is a ribosomal RNA of 715 nucleotides. It matches the Rfam family "Bacterial large subunit ribosomal RNA", at positions 23 to 668 of the family's 2925-position model.